Molecule: long non-coding RNA, 1326 nt
Organism: Cornus florida
Lineage: Eukaryota; Viridiplantae; Streptophyta; Magnoliopsida; Cornales; Cornaceae
Exons: 3
Source: RefSeq, a predicted model, not a curated record
UACUAGAAUGAUCCACUAACAACUCUUUUGCUGGACUGACUAUUUGCAGGUCUUCGUUAAUUUAUGCCAGAACUCACCGUGUACGAAUAACAGAUAAAAGGUGCAUCAAUAGACAAACUUGCAAUCUUCUGAUUUUAGGGAGUGAGUGGUUGCCACUUAUAUUUACCACUUGGUUUCUUCCACUCCCAAGUUACUAGAGUUAGCUUCCGACAUACAUAUCUUUGGCCAUUUCUGAAUAUCCCAAAAACAAUCCAUGAUCUUUUAGCCACAUUGAACAAUUUAAAACUAGUUGAUCAUCAUAACCUAAACCACAAUUCACAUGGAUCUUUAAUGUGAGACUUUGUUUUUUUCCAUCGCUUGAUAGAAAUUUGUAGCUUGUUUUGUUCAGCAUAUUAGUAUGAAGUUUCUGCAAAUUUACAGCAAGAAACAGGGUGGAAGCAGGCUAGCAGCCAAAAGGGAGAUCACAAAAAACUAUGGAACAUGAGCAGCCAUAAAGAAAUUGGUCAAGCUGUAGACAAAAUUUUGUGUACUCGAGAUGAGUCAGCAAGAAUCAGAGAUUAAGGUUACAACACCUGAUUCACAUCAGGAAGGAGCAGGGAUAUUCAAUUCCGAUAGGGAAUAUAAGUUGUGAACAUAUGUUUAGUGGUGGAAGAGACGAGCAAUAACCAGGGAAAUAGCAAACGAGUCCAAGAUGAUCAGAUUACCUGAAGUACAGAGAGCUGCUCAGAAAGCUUACGAUGUGGAAAGGGAUGAUGAGAUUGUACUUUAGCAGCGGCCAACCAAGCAGCCAAUGCAGCUAGAGUUACUGCUGUGAAGGGUUGAUCCACAGUCACUUGAAUGACUUUACAUAAAUAAAUUGGUCGUCCAGACUUGCAACUUCGUCGGAAUCUUUAAGCAGAGCCACUGUCUAUAUAUCAGCUAUGGCUUUUAUGAGUAAUGUGGCCCUCAAAUGUGCUUUAAACGUUCACGUUUUUCUUCUGCAAACUCACCUAAGCAAGAAAUGGAAUUGCUUAACACACAUCUGCUUUUUUUUUUUUCUUUCUGAAAAUAAACAUAUAUGCCUUGCUGCGUAAAUCGUUUAGAUUUCUUUGUUUUUGUUAAUUGAUUGUGGAUCAUGUUCUUCUAUGCAAAUGCCCUCAAAAUUGGUCCAUCUGGUGCUAUAGCCUUCUUUGCCUUGAUUUUUCUGAUUUUUCGUGGAAGAGUAGAUGGAUGAUGUUGAUGCAAAAAUGGAACCAGAGUGAUAAUCCAGCUGAUUGCAUUAGUUUAGAGGAAUGCGUGGAAUUUUUAAGACAAAGUCUAGUCCUCAUGUUAUUGUAUCUAAAGUUU